GUACUUACCUAGCAGGGGAGAUACCAUGAUCACAAAAGUGGUUUUCCCAGGGUGAGGCUUAUCCAUUGCACUCCGGAUGUGCUGACCACUGCAGUUUCCCCAAAUGUGGGAAACUCAAAUGCACAAUUUGUGGUACUGGGGAAUUGCGUUCAUGCUCUCCCCUA
Small nuclear RNA from Molossus molossus (Pallas's mastiff bat), 164 nucleotides. RefSeq annotates it as U1 spliceosomal RNA. The record is from RefSeq and is a predicted model, not a curated record. The transcript has a single exon. Lineage: Eukaryota; Metazoa; Chordata; Mammalia; Chiroptera; Molossidae.